Molecule: ribosomal RNA, 497 nt
Filed under: uncultured bacterium
Lineage: Bacteria
Description: partial 16S ribosomal RNA
Rfam family: Bacterial small subunit ribosomal RNA
Source: RNAcentral
GAUGAACGCUGGCGGCGUGCCUAAUACAUGCAAGUCGAGCGAACGGACGAGAACCUUCCUUCUCUCAUUUUAGCGGCGGACGGGUAAGUACCACGUGGAUACCCUACCUAUAAGCCUGGGAUAACUUCGGGAAACCGUAGCUAAUACCGGAUAAUAUUUUCCACCCCAUGGUUCAAGAUUGAAACACGGUCUUCCUGUUACUUAUAAAUGGAUCCGCGCUGCAUUAGCUAGUUGGUAAGGUAACGGCUUACCAAGGCAACGAUGCAUAGCCGACCUGAGAGGGUGAUCGGCCACACUGGAACUGAGACACGGUCCAGACUCCUACGGGAGGCAGCAGUAGGGAAUCUUCCGCAAUGGGCGAAAGCCUGACGGAGCAACGCCGCGUGAGUGAUGAAGGUCUUCGGAUCGUAAAACUCUGUUAUUAGGGAAGAACAUAUGUGUAAGUAACUGUGCACACCUUGACGGUACCUAAUCAGAAAGCCACGGCUAACUACGUG